RNAcentral lists this ribosomal RNA (253 nucleotides) under uncultured bacterium. RNAcentral's name for it is "partial 16S ribosomal RNA". It matches the Rfam family "Bacterial small subunit ribosomal RNA", at positions 524 to 776 of the family's 1533-position model. The record is from RNAcentral.
UACGGAGGGUGCAAGCGUUGCUCGGAUUUACUGGGCGUAAAGCGUACGCAGACGGUGAGAAAGGUCGGAUGUGAAAGCCCCGGGCUCAACCCGGGAACUGCAUCCGAAACCAUCUCGCUAGAGUAUGGGAGAGGGAAGCGGAAUUCCUGGUGUAGAGGUGAAACUCGUAGAUAUCAGGAGGAACAUCUGCGGCGAAGGCGGCUUCCUGGCCCAUUACUGACGUUCAGGUACGAAAGCGUGGGUAGCAAACAGG